Molecule: long non-coding RNA, 2672 nt
Organism: Hemicordylus capensis (graceful crag lizard)
Lineage: Eukaryota; Metazoa; Chordata; Lepidosauria; Squamata; Cordylidae
Exons: 4
Source: RefSeq, a predicted model, not a curated record
CUCGAGUAGGCCGGCAGGCCCCAAGCAAGCAAGCAAGCAAGCAAGGAGGCAGGCAGAGUGGCCACCAGAGUUCUCUGCAGCAGACCCUCUGCCCAGGCCAGCCCGGCCAGCCUUUGCCAGGUUAAUUUACACAAUCCAAUCCUCAGUAUGCCACAAGUGGAGAAGAGGUAGAAGAUGACUGCUGAACCCUGGUUCUUCAAGAGAGAUCUCAGAAAGGCAAGCUAAGCCACUUACCACAAUGGAAGGCAAAACUUCUUUCUCAGUAUUGCAAAUGGUACAGAAGUACAAAGGAGGUUUCUUGUUUUGAUUUUGUUCUGCUAAGUGAAGCAGCUGUCAGCAGGGGAAUUAACAACACCUUCUUGGAAAAUAGCUUGUCAGACCUGCCACUCCAGCUGUUUUUUGGUCACUACACCUAGAAUCAUUGCAUGUUUGUAUUGCUAGAGAACACUUUGGGUCAAAUCCUACCCUCAAUGAAAUGGAGUCAUUGACUUCAAUGAAGCAAACCAUGACUCCGAUUUUGGGUUGUAUUUUUAUUGUGAGGAAAAUAAAUUCUUGCCAUCGGUUUUGUUCAAAUCCCACUCCUUCCUAUGUAAGCCUGUAAAUGAUGAAUGAUCAUUGUGAAAUGUAAGUAUUUCAUGUAGCAUGGUUCAUCAUACUGACAAAGUGCCACAGCAUUUAAUUCGUAGGCAAUUUUUGUUACUCAAACUAACCUGAUUUGUUAAAAGGGUACCCAAGCUUGCCUCUUGUUUCCUGAGCAGAUUCAAUUAGGGAAUGAAAAAUGAAAAUAAAUGGCCCAUGUAUUGAACCUUGUUGUGAGGUUCCCAUAUCUUAGUGUGACAUAGAUGGAUGGGCAUGUGCUUUAAGAAAAAUAAUAGUCUAGUGCCCCCUAAGGCAUUCACAUGAUAUUAUUUGCCUUGUCAUUAUUGUCUCUGUAUAAUCUAUGGUGAGACAGGAAACAGAGGUGAUCUCUGAACAAGUUUGGCAAGUGAGCACAGUAGCCUCAGUGUCAUCAGGACAUAUACAUAUGCAUAAAUGGCAGCAAUCACUUUAUCUGCCAUCCUUUACUGAGUCUAGGGAUUCCCCUUUCCAUGUCUCCAUCACUUUGGUCCUAGUCACACACUUCUCUCAGGUCUGAACCUCUGAACUAGUGUUACCAGACACCCUUCCCCCACCCCCCAUUUUUGGAAACUCUGACUUCCUGCAGAAGCAAAGGAAGCAGAGCAUUAACAAGCAUUUGGUAUCAGGAGGGAAAACCUGGCCUCUCUCUGAAUCAAACUAUGGCAUGCCAAUACUGAACCAGUGCAAAAGUUGCCUAACAAAAUGUGAUGCACCUCCCUUCGUGUAAAUCCCAUGCAUUCUUAAUGAAGCCAGAGCUAAUAACUCUUCUGACAAUGCAGAAGUGUCAUUAAAGAGCCCCUACCACCACCACCAGAACAGGAGAAACAGCCAAAAUGUGUUUUCAUCCAUUAUAUAGAUUCAUCACAAUUGCUCCUUGUUGUUCUAUGCUUCCUCUGAAUAGUGGUUACCUCAUCCAUGCCCCUCCUCAGGUCCAGUACUUGGGAGUUGCCCUUUGUCCCUUUUGAAUUAAAGUUUUCCCGCCUUUGGAAUUUGGCCGAAGACAGAUCCCUUUAAAAGCCUCUGCUUUCCCACCCCAUGGUAUAGCUUCUGUGACUUCCAUUAGACUUGCCUGGUCUCUGUGAGGUUUCUAUCAUGGAAGCUUCACAGCCAACUUUGACUUCUGCUACCUAGAAGGUCUACCUGGCAAAGAACCCACUUCUGUGCUCACUCUUUUUUCCUAAGCUAAUUCAAGGUUGGAAUGGGCCCAGAGGCAUGCUGUUCUGGUAGCUCCAGGUCUCAACACACACAUCAGUUUCAGAGGAUGAAUACAACUGAAGGAAGCCCGGGCGGGUGCAAGGCUGGGGGAGUCAGUCAUAUGACUUGCCUGGGGGGAGCCAAGGCAGUGGGCCCCCAGACAACUGUCUCCCCUUGCCCUAUUAUAGUUAUGCCCCUGUAAUUCACUAGAUUUUUGAAACCUUGAGUUGAAACACUAGACUAUUGGAUCCAGAACUUCUGAGCUGAAAUCACUAUCCUUGAGUGCUCCCUGCAUGGGCCUGCUAUAUGGAAACCUGCAUUGGACUGCUCUGAACAUUCUUUGAACCCAGAGUCCGUGGCUCUCUGUAUGGGCCUGUCACAGGUGGCUCCUUGUGCUUGACUGCCUGAGAAGCUGUAGACACCAGAGCUAAAUCCUUAAGCCACUGAGGCUGGGCCAUUCCACAGUGGAUUUGCUAUGAGCUAACCCUUGAGUCUGACUGCCUGGGAAGCCAGGAACAUCCCCUUUGCUAGCUGUAGGCACAUGGAGUGCCACUGAUCCUGGAAUUUGCUGCCAAGACAGCACCUCACUGCCUCUCCUUGCCCUCCACCUUGGAAAAACCUUUGCAUUUGGGACCCUUCAAAUCUUCCCUGGUGGAAGUCACCCUUUUGGCAGCACACACAAGUCAGCAAGCACAAGAGAAAUAUUCAGCCGCUCUUGACUUUCUCUCUUUGCUUUAUCUCUUUCUCCCUACCGGUCUCUCCCCCUCCUUCUUUCCACAUUACAAUGCUCACCAGUCGCUGGGCUGUUAGAACCUUCAUUUCCUUGCUCCCUCUCACUCCCCCUCCCUCCUUAUCCUGUU